Molecule: ribosomal RNA, 349 nt
Filed under: uncultured bacterium
Lineage: Bacteria
Description: bacterial SSU rRNA
Rfam family: Bacterial small subunit ribosomal RNA
Source: RNAcentral
AGAGUUUGAUCAUGGCUCAGGAUGAACGCUAGCUACAGGCUUAACACAUGCAAGUCGAGGGGCAGCAUGUUGGUUGCUUGUAACCAACGAUGGCGACCGGCGCACGGGUGAGUAACGCGUAUCCAACCUACCCUUGUCCAUCGGAUAACCCGUCGAAAGGCGGCCUAACACGAUAUGCGGUUCACAGCAGGCAUCUAACGUGAACGAAAUGUAAAGGAGAAGGAUGGGGAUGCGUCUGAUUAGCUUGUUGGCGGGGUAACGGCCACCGAAGGCUACGAUCAGUAGGGGUUCUGAGAGGAAGGUCCCCANAUUGGAACUGAGACACGGUCCAAACUCCUACGGGAGACCA